This 420-nucleotide ribosomal RNA is filed under the name uncultured bacterium. RNAcentral describes it as "partial 16S ribosomal RNA". It matches the Rfam family "Bacterial small subunit ribosomal RNA", at positions 361 to 773 of the family's 1533-position model. The record is from RNAcentral.
AUAUUGUACAAUGGGGGCAACACUGAUCCAGCCAUGACGCGUGUGUGAAGAAGGUGUUCGGAUGGUAAAGCACGUUAAGUUGGGAGGAAGGGAGUUAGGUUAAUACCCUGAGGUUUAGACGUUACCAACAGAGUACGCACGAUCUAACUCUGUCCCAGCAGCCGCGGUAAUACAGAGGGUGCAAGCGUUAAGCGGAAUUACUGGGUGUAAGGCGCGCGUAGGUGGUUCAGUAAGAUGGGUGUGAAAUCCCCGGGCUUAACCUGGGAACUGCUUUCAUAACUGCUGAGCUAGAGUACGGUAGAGGGUAGUGGAAUUUCCUGUGUAGCGGUGAAAUGCGUAGAUAUAGGAAGGAACACCAGUGGCGAAGGCGACUACCUGGACUGAUACUGACACUGAGGUGCAAAAGCGUGGGGAGCAAAC